GAGAGAGAGAGAGAGAGAGAGAGCCAGUUACGGUGUAGUUGCGGGCGAGAGUGCACGGACGCCGCCUCCCUCUCAUACCAUGAAUUCGUGACAGCAAAAAAGAGAGAAAGAAAAAGAAAGAUAAUUAAAGAAAGAAAAGAGAGAGAGAGGGAGAGAGAGAGACAGAGAGACAGUUUUAGAGAUAUCUCACAUUUGCUUACACGAAGAAGAGGAAGAAGAAGAAGAAGAAGAGGCAGAAGAA
This is a long non-coding RNA of Eriocheir sinensis (Chinese mitten crab), 241 nucleotides long. RefSeq lists it as uncharacterized. The record is from RefSeq and is a predicted model, not a curated record. Lineage: Eukaryota; Metazoa; Arthropoda; Malacostraca; Decapoda; Varunidae. The transcript is spliced from 2 exons.